UUAAUUGAAACCAAAAAGAGGUUCAUCAUUGUUAAUGAUGCUAUUGAUAAAGAUCCAAUUAAA
Molecule: transfer RNA, 63 nt
Filed under: Scolytinae sp. BMNH 1039996
Lineage: Eukaryota; Metazoa; Arthropoda; Insecta; Coleoptera; Curculionidae
Description: tRNA-Asn
Source: RNAcentral